Molecule: long non-coding RNA, 993 nt
Organism: Hevea brasiliensis (rubber tree)
Lineage: Eukaryota; Viridiplantae; Streptophyta; Magnoliopsida; Malpighiales; Euphorbiaceae
Exons: 2
Source: RefSeq, a predicted model, not a curated record
UUCCUCUCUCAAAGGAAAGAAGGAACGAGAUACCACCUAAGACCUACCUCAAGUAAAUUGGAAAGCAACGAGCUACUUAAAAUUUUGCUGUGGGCAUUUUGCUUUCUGAUUUUAAAAAUUCUGAGAGCAAGAACCCAACUAUUUCCUGGAAACAAACAAUCCACUUGUCAAAACAACUAGGUAGAUACCUGAACUGAAAAACAUAUGAAAUCUUCCCCAGAUAUCUACGUCAAUCGCUAGUGUCAUAAGCUUAGACGUAAUUAUUCUCUUCUUUAUAUAUACCUUUCAUUUAACAAUUAACAGCUUUGAUAAAAAGGCACGUCUGGUGGGUAGCUCAAUCGAGUUUUAAUUAAUUUCCAUGGAUGAGUAGCACGAUUCGUGGAACUCUCUGUCUUUUCUACACCAUAACUCUCUAUCUCUGAGCAUUUUAAGCUCCCAGGCACCCUUCAUCUCCUGUUCUCCUUCAAACUGACUGAGCAGGGAAAAUUCCAAUAAUUGGUUUUGGUCGAUGGGAAGAUACGAGAAAAAUGAAGAGUGUAAGACUGAUGAUCAUCAAGAACCUAUGAAGAUUGUGGAGGCGUGCAUAGCUUGUUUGUGGUCAGUUUUGGUGAGCCUUUCAGGGGGGCUAAUACUGGGUUACUGGGAGUAUCAGUAUCACCUUACAAAUAGUCAGCAAUGGAUGGUGCCCUUAGGUCUUAUUCUGCUUGUUACGCCGGUGAUCGUUUCAUUGGCUCUUUUCUUCUCAGAAAUCAGUAAUUCGGAAGACAAGAACUCCAAAAGGAGUCAACAACCCGUCGUUUUAUUUGAUGAUUCAGAGAAAUACCUGAAAGAAAAUCCAGUGUAAUUGAUUUGAAUUCCUGAACCUUCGUCGUUGUUAAGCUGUUGCUAGGUCACAUCACUCGCUCUUAUUAGGGUUUGCUUGCGAUGAUGAUGCAUUGCUCUUCUUGUAUAAAACAUAAAUUUUAAGCUCAAAAUUAAAUUGGUUUGAUUGGA